Molecule: long non-coding RNA, 1510 nt
Filed under: Gallus gallus (chicken)
Lineage: Eukaryota; Metazoa; Chordata; Aves; Galliformes; Phasianidae
Description: lncRNA (ENSGALG00010023563.1)
Source: RNAcentral
CACAGUUUCAUCGACCAGGUCAGCACAUCUGCAUGGAAAGCACAGCUUCUAAGCCACCAUCUAUGGAAACCGGGAGAGGCUUUUGAGAGGUUUCACAGUGCCCUGAAGCUGACAUCCGGCUGCAUCUCUUUGGUUCCGCUGUUACAGCCCCAGACAGCCUAAAAACAUGUGCAGUAGGUAUCUUCUAUCCUCUUUAUCUGUUUGCCUCUCAUCCCCUGCUCCCUUUACUAUGUCAAAAGAGACUCGAUAGCCCAGCGAUCAUUUCUAAUUUCCACCCUUCAGAUCAUCUGCUUUGAGACAGCAAUUAUUGGAGAUAUAAGAACCUGGGUAUAGAAUUGCAAAAUGUAAUUGGCAAAGAAGGAUGCGAUAUUCCCAAUGACAGGAAAAGACAGUAAACAUAAACAUAAUUCUUCUAUGAAGCAGCGUAGCGCAGCGGGACGUUAUUACCAGGCAUGGCCCAGCUGGGGAAAUGCCCUCUGGUGGUCACACUGCCACCAGCGCAAUCACUUCUCAUUAAUGCCGGGCUGCUCUUAACUACUUAACUGCUGUUAUUUGAGUGCCGUUAGCCAAAGCGUUCCAGUGUUGCAAGUCUGGUUUUAAAGGAUGUAUCAGAGACCUAAAGGGGAAGUUUGCCGUCCAACACUAUGUUACGAGAGGAGAAAUGUGAGCUAAGAAAUGUUAGUAAUUAAUUUAUUUCAUUAGCAGAAGAAAAAAAAAAAGUUGUUUGAUUUUGGUUUGAUUGCGCAAAUAUUUUCAAAUCAUUUUACUUCUUCUCUAAUAAUAAUAAUAAUAAAAAAACAACAGGAUUCAUACUGAAAAUGGAAAGGUACACUUGUUUUCUAGUUACAGUGCUCUGAUUUUAUCAGGCAUAUGCAAUUAUGUUUUGGGGGGAGUUGAGUGUAUAGAGCACUGAUUUUACGGUCUGAAUCUAAAUUUAUCUGUAUAAAAUGAACCACUAAAUCUAAAUUUAUCUGUAUAAAAUGAAGCAGCCUCCAACAUUUACAUGCAAUUUGAUCUCGGCAUCGCAUCCCUGAGUCACUGCAAUUUCUGUCAGCGCCGAGGCCCCUGGCUGCUCUUGCUGCAAGCACGCUGGCUGACGCAAAAGGCAGCAUUACACCUCCUGAUACUGGUUAGAAUAUAUUUGAAUCCCGUAAGUACAUCAUAACACCGUUUUCAAUUUCUAUAUUUACAGUUAUCAACAAAAACACUGUUUGCACGUGUGUGAUGUGUACAGAAUGCUUAAGGGAAGAAAGAUUCAGUCGGUGUAAAAGCCACCACAGCACAAUGCCAUUUUUUUCAGUGUGCUUUUUCCCAGCUGGGUUUGCACUUCCAGACACGUGUUCUGGUUCAUUGUGUUACCCCACGUCCGGUCUCCAUGUAAGCUUAUAUCUAAUCACUCAAAAUUACUGCAGAUUGGAAAUUUCCUAGCCACAGCAGAGGGCAACGCCUAGCUGUCUGGAUGCACUAGGGCUACCACAAUAAAUGCCUCACUGAGGCCUUUUCUGUUUUC